GAUGAAGAACGCAGUAAAAUGCGAUAAGUAAUGUGAAUUGCAGAAUUCAGUGAAUCAUCGAAUCUUUGAACGCACAUUGCGCCCGCCAGUAUUCUGGCGGGCAUGCCUGUUCGAGCGUCAUUUCAACCCUCAAGCCCCCGGGUUUGGUGUUGGGGAUCGGGCUGUACUCCAGCCCGGCCCCGAAAUCUAGUGGCGGUCUCGCUGCAGCCUCCAUUGCGUAGUAGCUAACACCUCGCAACUGGAACGCGGCGCGGCCAAGCCGUUAAACCCCCAACUUCUGAAUGUUGACCUCGGAUCAGGUAGGAAUACCCGCUGAACUUAAGCAUAUCAAUAAAGCGGAGGA
This 343-nucleotide unclassified non-coding RNA is filed under the name soil metagenome. RNAcentral describes it as "partial contains 5.8S ribosomal RNA, internal transcribed spacer 2, and large subunit ribosomal RNA". The stretch from base 1 to 120 matches the Rfam family "5.8S ribosomal RNA", at positions 35 to 154 of the family's 154-position model. The record is from RNAcentral.